UCUCUCUCUUCACUUUCUCACCACCCGCACUAAAGCCAAAGAACCCCAAAUUUGAAACCAUAAACCCUCCCUGAUCUUCCUCUAAAUCCAAAUAACCUAAAUGUCGUGAAAUCCUACUUGUGAUUUUCUCAUAUAUCCCUAAAAUCCCUAUAAUCCCGGGAAACAAACCCUAAUCCUUAUUUGCACAAGUCGAUGUCGUAGAUUUAAGAGUGUGGGCAUCAAUCGAUGUUGUAGAUUUGAGAGCGUGGGGAAAGCCUAACCUCUUUGUCUAAAGAUCUAGCUCCGAAUCUCUAUCUUCAUCAUCGUCAUCAGGUACUCUCAGUUCGGGUGAGAAGUGAUGGCUAGGCUGAUUUGGUUGAGUGUUGGGUUAGAGCUGCUAAGACUAAUGUUCAGGGACAAUCGUCAUCUUCUAAGGGUAGCUCAUUUGAUGACUUUAAGAAGUUGGGUCAUCCUUAUUUUUUUGGCACGUCAAAUCCAACGGAGGCAAAUGCUUGGAUUCUUAAGAUGGAGAAAUUCUUUGAUGUCAUAGAUUGCUUUAAGGAGCAAAAAACCUCUUAUGCAACAUUUCUGUUAGACAAACAAGCAUAUCAUUGGUGGUGUAUGACUAAGAGACUUUUAGAGGAUCAGGAACUUAUAACAUGGAAACAGUUUAGAGAGGCUUUCUACAACAAGUAUUUCCAUGAUAAUGUUAGACAACACAAGGUGGGAGAGUUUGUCAUUUAGAACAAGGGGAUAUGACGAUGGCCCAAUAUGAAGCCAAAUUUACAAAGUUGAUUGCUACAGAUGAGGAAAAGACAUUGAUUUUCCAGGAUGGAUUGAAACCUUAUCUAAAGAGCAAGAUAUCUAUUUUGAAGCUUAGUGUCUAUUGAAAGAUUGUAAACAGAGCCCUUAUAGGGGAGAAGGAUAAUAAGGAGCUUCAAUAGUAUAAAGAACAACAAAGGAAGAGGAGUAGGAGUGAUGGUACCCAUGAUAACUAAGAAUAGAAAAGGUUUGUUUCAAUUGAGGGUCAGAAUAAAGAGGAAAUAAUGCAAAAUUCAUAUAUGAUUUGUUCUAUUUGUGGUAAGAAACAUUCGGGUAAGUCAUACUAUAAAGAGACUAGAGUUUGCUUGGUUGUGGGAAGCAUGGACAUAUGAUUCUAGAUUGUUGAAAAGUUUUGAACGUAUUAGCAUGUUUGAAUU
Vitis riparia (riverbank grape) is the source of this 1178-nucleotide long non-coding RNA. RefSeq lists it as uncharacterized. NCBI's taxonomy places the organism in Eukaryota, Viridiplantae, Streptophyta, Magnoliopsida, Vitales, Vitaceae. The record is from RefSeq and is a predicted model, not a curated record. The transcript has 2 exons.